AGAUGUGAUGGUAAUCUGGCUGCAACAUCUGCAACAUCUGCCAAGGUUGAUUGGGCUGAUCUAGGUGGGCAGGUGUCACCUUCCUCCCUCACCACUCCACAUGUGUCCCUCUUCAAGGUGUGAGGACAACUACCCCAUAGAGGAGGACCUUUUCCUUGGUCAAGAGUAUACGAGUAGCUGUGCUCCCCUGCUAGAACCCCCAAAUUAGCUCUCAGAAUGAAUGUACAUACUUUAUGCAAAAUACCACAUAGGAAUAUUUAGUAUUUUAGUAAAGUAUUGUCUUUCUGU
This 288-nucleotide small nuclear RNA is filed under the name Chinchilla lanigera (long-tailed chinchilla). Its description in RNAcentral is "7SK RNA (ENSCLAG00000021929.1)". It matches the Rfam family "7SK RNA". From Rfam's summary of the family: 7SK was discovered as an abundant small nuclear RNA in the mid-70s but a possible function has only recently been suggested. Two independent studies have found that 7SK RNA binds the CDK9/cyclin T complex (known as elongation factor P-TEFb). P-TEFb activates transcription by phosphorylating the C-terminal domain of RNA polymerase II. The record is from RNAcentral. Lineage: Eukaryota; Metazoa; Chordata; Mammalia; Rodentia; Chinchillidae.